RNAcentral lists this ribosomal RNA (497 nucleotides) under uncultured bacterium. Its description in RNAcentral is "partial 16S ribosomal RNA". It matches the Rfam family "Bacterial small subunit ribosomal RNA", at positions 28 to 507 of the family's 1533-position model. The record is from RNAcentral.
GAUGGACGCUGGCGGCGUGCCUAAUACAUGCAAGUCGAGCGAACAGACGAGGAGCUUGCUCCUCUGACGUUAGCGGCGGACGGGUGAGUAACACGUGGAUAACCUACCUAUAAGACUGGGAUAACUUCGGGAAACCGGAGCUAAUACCGGAUAAUAUAUUGAACCGCAUGGUUCAAUAGUGAAAGACGGUUUUGCUGUCACUUAUAGAUGGAUCCGCGCCGCAUUAGCUAGUUGGUAAGGUAACGGCUUACCAAGGCAACGAUGUGUAGCCGACCUGAGAGGGUGAUCGGCCACACUGGAACUGAGACACGGUCCAGACUCCUACGGGAGGCAGCAGUAGGGAAUCUUCCGCAAUGGGCGAAAGCCUGACGGAGCAACGCCGCGUGAGUGAUGAAGGUCUUCGGAUCGUAAAACUCUGUUAUUAGGGAAGAACAAAUGUGUAAGUAACUAUGCACGUCUUGACGGUACCUAAUGAGAAAGCCACGGCUAACUACGUG